Sinocyclocheilus rhinocerous is the source of this 218-nucleotide long non-coding RNA. RefSeq lists it as uncharacterized. Lineage: Eukaryota; Metazoa; Chordata; Actinopteri; Cypriniformes; Cyprinidae. The transcript has 2 exons. The record is from RefSeq and is a predicted model, not a curated record.
CUGCACUAUGCUCACAAUCGCCCACAGAAUCAACACGGUAUUGGAGAGUGACCGCAUACUAGUCAUGGACCAGGGCAAGGUGGUUGAGUUUGAUCCACCACAGGACCUGAUACAGAGGCCGAACUCUUUAUUUGCAUCACUUCUAGCAGCAGCAAAUCAAGUGAACUCGUGAAGCACUCACAUACUCAUAUAGACCUUCACACUGUUGCAAGAGUCUG